Mastomys coucha (southern multimammate mouse) is the source of this 804-nucleotide long non-coding RNA. RefSeq lists it as uncharacterized. The transcript has 2 exons. The record is from RefSeq and is a predicted model, not a curated record. NCBI's taxonomy places the organism in Eukaryota, Metazoa, Chordata, Mammalia, Rodentia, Muridae.
GGAAGCUCAACUGGGGCGGAAGACAGCGAGAAUGCAAGACGCCUCCUGAAGCCAGAAAAGCGCAUGCGCUACAGUUAAAACGCUGCCCCCUAGCGACUGGAGGAUAGCAGAGUGUUCCCACGGGGUUGGUUACCAACUUUUCGGGUACGGAGUCUCUGGGCUGUUAGUGUAAGAUGGCUUCAGAAGCACCCUUCCGACGCAGAGCCUCGUUACUUCAGCACCCGGCGUGUAAUGAACGACCCGCCCUGGAAUCCGUCGCCCACCUGUUGUGGCCUGGAGCAUGCAAACAAUCCCUUUGCCUCUUGGAACCUACGAGCACACCUGGCCGACGCGGGCGGCCCACUGGGUGCGGUGGGUUGGGCACGAGAUUACAGAACUUGUAUUGGCCCUUCCUGAGAGGUCAGCAACCUUCCAGGGCUUUCUUGCAACAUCUGGCAUUGGUCGCAUAUGUCCUCUGACUAGUGUUUUCUCGCCCAGAGCUCCUAACUUCCACCUCUGUGAUGUUUUGGGCCUUACAGGUGUACCACAUACACAUCUUGCCUUUGAGAUGUCCGAUCUUCAGUCCGUCACUCCCAUCCCUACCUGAGCCACGCUGAGAUUCCUGCCCUCCUUCUGACUCAGUGCUCCGGAGGAAGCUACAGAGGCGUGCUAACUACAAGGCAUCAGAUAAACCUUCUCACCCCUUAUGGCCAUCUGCGCACUGAGCUCUCUCCCUUUCCUGAUCUUGAGCAACUGGCUAGAUAACCUUAUGUGACCAAACAGGUUUCCCUCACUAAAUCUUAAAAUAAAUCAGACUCCAUAGCA